This 490-nucleotide ribosomal RNA is filed under the name uncultured bacterium. RNAcentral's name for it is "partial 16S ribosomal RNA". It matches the Rfam family "Bacterial small subunit ribosomal RNA", at positions 30 to 507 of the family's 1533-position model. The record is from RNAcentral.
AGUGAACGCUGGCGGCAGGCCUAACACAUGCAAGUCGAACGGCAGCACAAGAGAGCUUGCUCUCUGGGUGGCGAGUGGCGGACGGGUGAGGAAUGCAUCGGAAUCUGCCCAUUUGUGGGGGAUAACCUCGGGAAACCGGGACUAAUACCGCAUACGACCUACGGGUGAAAGCAGGGGAUCUUCGGACCUUGCGCAGAUGGAUGAGCCGAUGCGGGAUUAGCUAGUUGGAGGGGUAAAGGCCCACCAAGGCGACGAUCCGUAGCUGGUCUGAGAGGAUGAUCGCGCGCCCGAGGGAGUGGGACACGGCCCACCUCCGUAGGGGAGGCAGGAGGGGGAAAAUUUGGGAAGGGGGCGAAAGCCUGAUCCAGCAAUGCGGGGGAGGUGAAGAAAGCCUGGGGGUGUUAAAGACCUUUUUUUGGGAAAAAAAACCAUCCGUUUAAAACCCGGUUGUAUGACGGGAACCAAAAAAAAAGCCCCGGCUAAAUUCGUG